Long non-coding RNA from Chelonia mydas (Green sea turtle), 761 nucleotides. RefSeq lists it as uncharacterized. The record is from RefSeq and is a predicted model, not a curated record. Lineage: Eukaryota; Metazoa; Chordata; Testudines; Cheloniidae. The transcript is spliced from 4 exons.
GCCUGCUGAGCCAGCUUGACUAACGGGCCUUGACCACUUCUGCGAGCACUCAUUGCAGAAAGCUCCCAUCAACCAAGCGAUUUCCAUGGGGAGGUUCACUAUUUAAAGGGAGAAUGGUGGAGCCUUGGAGCUGUGCAGAUGUGGAAGACCACUGCCCCUUUCCAGCUGUGGACCUCCAAGCGUCACAAUGUUCUGGAACGGAGAAGAAGAAUCUAAUGCCCUGCUAGUUGGAGAAGGACAGAACUGAUCUGGAUGUCUCCACACAUCAGCAGAAGACAGAGCUUCUUCACCUUUAGGACUCCAGUAUCCUUCUCUUUGUGCAAGGCUUCUCUCAAUACAACCCAUGGCAGAAGAGCUUGGCAACGUCACUUCUGGAAAGGAGCAUCAAGUGUGAAUUUUCACUUAAGUUUGCAGAAAGGGUCUUAUCCUUUCCAAGUGAAACAUUGCUUUUCUUAAUCAGGUAUAUAUGGCAGCCUGUGACUGUAAUGAUGAGAUUAUUAUAAAUGACUAGACAAGAUAUGGGUCUGAGGUUAUGACAUGAAUGUUAUCUGGCAGCAGGUCUUUGUUUGUCAGGUGGAGAGGUUUUGUUUGUUUGUGUGAUUAAAAUAACUAGCUUCCCCUUUGGACCAACAAAAAUUUCACAUACAAACAAAGUGAACAAAUGUUGCCUUUUUGUAGGCUUCUCAAGGAGGUCAAAACCAAAACUUCACUGUUUGCCAGCACACAGUGAAAUCACAAUCACACAACAUGGUGGGGGAACA